This 402-nucleotide ribosomal RNA is filed under the name uncultured bacterium. RNAcentral's name for it is "bacterial SSU rRNA". It matches the Rfam family "Bacterial small subunit ribosomal RNA", at positions 119 to 508 of the family's 1533-position model. The record is from RNAcentral.
GGGGAACCUAUCCAUCAGCGGGGGAUAACACUUGGAAACAGGUGCUAAUACCGCAUAGGGCUUUUUUUCACCUGAAAAGAAGCUGAAAGGCGCUUUGUGCGUCACUGAUGGCUGGUCCCGCGGUGCAUUAGCCAGUUGGUGAGGUAACGGCUCACCAAAGCAACGAUGCAUAGCCGACCUGAGAGGGUGAUCGGCCACACUGGGACUGAGACACGGCCCAGACUCCUACGGGAGGCAGCAGUAGGGAAUCUUCCGCAAUGGACGAAAGUCUGACGGAGCAACGCCGCGUGAGCGAAGAAGGUCUUCGGAUCGUAAAGCUCUGUUGUUAGGGAAGAACAAGUAUCGGAGGAAAUGCCGGUACUUUGACGGUACCUGACGAGAAAGCCACGGCUAACUACGUGC